Molecule: ribosomal RNA, 339 nt
Filed under: Incisitermes schwarzi
Lineage: Eukaryota; Metazoa; Arthropoda; Insecta; Blattodea; Kalotermitidae
Description: partial 12S ribosomal RNA
Source: RNAcentral
GAUAUGAUCUUGAAACCUAAAGAAUUUGGCGGUACCCUAUUCCUUUCAGAGGAGUCUGCCCCGUGAUCGAUGAUCCGCGCUGGACCUUACUUAGAAUUUGUUUGUAUACCGCCGUUGUAAUGAAGAUCUUUUUAGUGUUUUAAUUUUCUGGUUCCGUUAAUUUGGUUGAUUUCAGGUCAAGGUGCAAUUUAUUUUUGAGUGUGAGGUGGACUACAUUGAUUAUUUGAUCUUUGGAUUACUAAUUGUAAUUUUAUUAGUAUGAAAUUGGAUUUGGUUGUAAUUUAUUGUAGAUUGUUUUUAUGAUGCUGGUUCUGGGGUAUGUACACAUCGCCCGUCGCU